RNAcentral lists this long non-coding RNA (435 nucleotides) under Cyanistes caeruleus (blue tit). RNAcentral's name for it is "lncRNA (ENSCCEG00000009283.1)". Lineage: Eukaryota; Metazoa; Chordata; Aves; Passeriformes; Paridae. The record is from RNAcentral.
UUUCCAGGGUCAUUUGCCUUGCUUUUGCAGAAACAACAGGAUGGCACUGAGAUCUGAACUCUGACUCUCUGCUGUUUCUGCUGUUCUGGAUGCUGAUGCUGCUCUUUCACAACAGCUGAGUUAGAUCCAGAUGGACAUCACACACAGAGCUCAAAAUGAAAACAGAAAAGUACUUUUCCUACCAGCAAUUUUUGAAGAAUAAAGAAAAGAAAAUUCUGUAGGAUGGGGAAGAAAGGAAUAUCCAAGGCUAUGCUACCACAGGGAAGCAAAAAGGAGGAAAAUUGCAGACAAAACCAGUUAAAAGUCUUGCUUGGGAAGAGAGAUCUGCUGGCUGCAUUGCUCCCAUCACCAGCUGCUGGGACAUGGUGAAUUGGAUGCCAGGAAAGGGGAUUUCACUCCAUGUGGAAGUGUCAGGGAUGUGGCACACUGCCAGCU